CUUAGAGUUUGAUCUGGCUCAGGACGACGCUGGCGGCGUGCUAAUCAUGCAAGUCGAGCGACAGAAGGGAGCUUGUCCCGGAUGUUAGCGGCGGACGGGUGAGUAAACCGUGGGUAACCUGCCUGUAAGACUGGGAUAACUCGGGAAACCGGAGCUAAUACCGGAUAGUUCCGAACCGCAUGGUUCAAGGAUGAAAGACGGUUUCGGCUGUCACUUACAGAUGGACCCCGGCGCAUUAGCUAGUUGGUGGGGUAAUGGCUCACCAAGGCGACGAUGCGUAGCCGACCUGAGAGGGUGAUCGGCCACACUGGGACUGAGACACGGCCCAGACUCCUACGGGAGGCAGCAGUAGGGAAUCUUCCGCAAUGGACGAAAGUCUGACGGAGCACGCCGCGUGAGUGAUGAAGGUUUUCGGAUCGUAAAGCUCUGUUGUUAGGGAAGAACAAGUGCGAGAGUAACUGCUCGCACCUUGACGGUACCUAACCAGAAACCACGGCUAACUCGUGCCACACCGCGGUAAUACGUAGGUGGCAACGUUUCCGGAAUUAUUGGGCGUAAAGGGCUCGCAGGCGGUUUUUAAUUGAUGUGAAAGCCCCCGGCUCAACCGGGGAGGGUCAUUGGAAACUGGGAAACUUGAGUGCAGAAGAGGAGAGUGGAAUUCCCGUGUAGCGGUGAAAUGCGUAGAGAUGUGGAGGAACACCAGUGGCGAAGGCGACUCUUGGUCUGUAACUGACCUGAGGAGCGAAACGUGGGGAGCGAACAGGAUUAGAUCCCUGGUAGUCCCGCCGUAAACAGGCUAAGUGUUAGGGGGUUUCCGCCCCUUAGUGCUGCAGCUAACCGCAUAAG
Molecule: ribosomal RNA, 846 nt
Filed under: Bacillus safensis
Lineage: Bacteria; Bacillati; Bacillota; Bacilli; Caryophanales; Bacillaceae
Description: bacterial SSU rRNA
Rfam family: Bacterial small subunit ribosomal RNA
Source: RNAcentral